GAUUUUUUAAAUUGCUGUGGUAUUUUGACUAUACAAAGGUAUUGAAAUAAGAUUUUAAUUGAAUGCUAAGAGAAUGGAAUCACAGAAAACAACUUUCUUAAAAUUAAAAAUUGAACUUUUUUUAAUUUGUGCAGAAACAAUUAUUUAAAUUAAGGACAAGAAGACCCUAAGAAUUUAUGAAUUUAAAUAAAUAUAAUUAUAUAUUAUUUAAAUUUUAGCUGGGGCGGCUGAGAAAUAUUAAAAACUUUUUAGUUUAAUAUGACCCAUUAUUAAUGAUAAUAUGAAAAAUACUCUAGGGAUAACAGCGUUAUAUUUUUUGAUAGAUCAUAUUGACAAAAAAGUUUGCGACCUCGAUGUUGGAUUAGGAUUCUUUUUUAAUGAAGACGCUAA
This 390-nucleotide ribosomal RNA is filed under the name Rhipicephalus nitens. Its description in RNAcentral is "partial large subunit ribosomal RNA". The record is from RNAcentral. Lineage: Eukaryota; Metazoa; Arthropoda; Arachnida; Ixodida; Ixodidae.